Long non-coding RNA from Beta vulgaris subsp. vulgaris (sugar beet), 1971 nucleotides. RefSeq lists it as uncharacterized. The record is from RefSeq and is a predicted model, not a curated record. Lineage: Eukaryota; Viridiplantae; Streptophyta; Magnoliopsida; Caryophyllales; Amaranthaceae. The transcript has 2 exons.
AGCCGUAUUUUAAGCAGGUUUCAUUUAAAAAGAUAAUUGUAUUUUAUUAUAAUAAUUGUAUGUUAAACUUUAGUAAAACAUCUUAUAAAAGGUAAAUUUUAAUAUCUAAAUAUAAUUUGAGUUCAAGUUAUAUUUUCGAAAAGAAAAAAAAAUAAAGGAAAACAGAAAUUCUUCUCUCUCUUCGUGGCCUUGAUAUUGUGCUGCCAAGCAGGGGCGGACCUAUUAAGGGUCCUGGGUGGCACAGGCCCCACCAAAAAAAAUCAAUUUUCCUUUUUUUCUUAAUGCCAGACAAAUACAUAAUAUAAAAUUAAUACCCACACUGAAAAUUAAUACAACGUAGCUUUGGUCUGGUGGUAAAUUUACCAACAAAUUCUUGAAGUGCAUGUAGUACGCGGGUUCGAAUCCUUGCACCUUUUCCAAAUUCUUUUUCCUUUUAUUUUUUCUUUCUUCUUAAUUUGAUUGAUGCAUUAUUUUUUAUUUGUUUAUUUUACUUUUUACUUUUUGCUAUUUUCUUUUCUCUUUUACCACAUUUUCUUUUUUAUGUUAGAAAUAUUGAUCAUAUAAUGAAGGUAUAUCUAAUAUAUGAUUCAGAUAAUAUAAAGUUUGGUUUUCUUACCAUUAAAAUCAAAUUUCGCAUAUAUUAUUACGAUCAUUGUCUAUGUGCUUGGUUUAGUUAGGAGCCUGGGACCCCCCAAAUUCAAAAUCCUAGAUCCCCUGCUGCCAAGUUGAAGGAAAUGUUGAGCUGUCAACACAAAAGCCUCAUCAGAUUCUUUUUGUUAAUACAAAGAAAUAGCUAGAAACUCGUUUUGAACUUUUGGAAUUCAUCCACGAGAAUUCAAGAAACCCAAAACCCCAAUUCUUCAUUCUCGCAUCUCCUCUGUUUUCGUCAGUCUGUUCUGCAAUUUUCUCUAACAUGCAAUCCAAAUCUGCUCCUUGUUUCUUCAUCAAAGUUGUAGAUCUCUUCGAGCUAAUGAAUUUGGGCACAAAAAUCACUCGAUUCGGAGUUCGGAGCUAAGAGUUAUGCUCUCUGGAAGUUGUAGUUGUUGCUGCCACUAUUGCGGCGUUUUCCUCUCUCCUCUGCUUUCGCGGUGGUGCUGCCAUUGUUGUUAAGCUUGCUCAGUUUGAAGUUUAUUCAUAGGUGAAUUAUGUUGGAGUUCGAAUUGGAGUUGAAGAUCAAGAUUAUCAUAAAUGUUCAUGGAGAUUGCAUAUAAUUAUUCUUGAGUUUGAGGUAACCUUUAUGUUCAGCAAAACAUAUUUACAUGCCCGUGUGUGUAUGUUGUCUUUUUGAUAUCGUAUCAUUGUUUAUAGUCAUGGCCAUGGUUAUAGAUGCAUAUUUAUAAGUUAAUUGUGAAUUGAUAUUUGAUGGUUAUGAAAGAAUAAUACUUUUGUUAUGUUAUUGGAAUUGUUCGGAAACUAUAAAGUAUUCUAGAAAUGUGAUUUGAGUAUGAUAAUGAGAAAAUGUUUCGAAAUGGUUUUAGCUGGCUUAGUUUAUAAACUGAGAUGAAUAGUGGGCAAGGUACAAGUAGAGUAAAAUGAUUCGUAUAUGAGUUAAGACCAGAUAAGGUCAAAUAUUACGUUAAGUUAUGUUAUAAGCCUGUACUUGCCAGCGAUUUAUGUAAUGUGAUUAAGCUAUGCCAGCGAUAUAUUUAAAAGAUGAAUUAUUUCCGAACAAUUACCAAGUUGUUUCUGAUAUGAAAAAUAUUCACGAACCAAAACCGUUUUGACGGGCUGAAGUAAAGUUACUGAGUUUUUCGCUCAUUUUAGUUUUGUUUUUGUUUUGUAUUUUCUUCUGUAAUUUGCAGGUUUGUAUUUGGAGCUCAUAGUGGAUCGAAAGUAAAGAGUUAAUUAUUGAAUUGUAAAUAUAUUAGUGAUUCGAAGUUAGAUAUAGAAUAUAAGUUAUUGAAUAUAAAGUCCUCAUUUGGUGUUUAAGUAUUAUAUUGUUUUGGGAAUAAAGUAAAUUGUAAUCUGUUA